RNAcentral lists this long non-coding RNA (2399 nucleotides) under Nicotiana benthamiana. RNAcentral's name for it is "long non-coding RNA (NBEN_LNC021007)". Lineage: Eukaryota; Viridiplantae; Streptophyta; Magnoliopsida; Solanales; Solanaceae. The record is from RNAcentral.
GAACUUAAUCCUACACAGAUAAACAGACAGAGAUUACGUCAGGUCUAAGCUGAAAUGCUUAAAUAUCUUGCUUUAGAAUAAGCUUUUUGGAGACAAAAAGCAGGCAUGUUAUGGUUAAAAGACGGCGAUAGAAACACUAAAUUUUUUCAUGCUCAAGUUAAUGGGAGAAGGAAGAGACUGAAAUUAUCAAGAAUCCAGAAUAGAUUUGGUAACUGGAUUGGAAAGGAUCACUUAAUAGCAGAAGAAGCAGUAAAAUUUUACAAGGAUCAAUUUUCUGAGAGUACAGCCCCUCAUGCUUUUGAUAUUCUAAAUCAAGUACCUUCAUUGGUAGAUAAUGAUCAACAUGGGAGAAUGAUGGUUUUACCUUCCUUUGAGGAAGUGAAGAGAGCAGAUAUGGGGCUGAAUUGGGACUCAGCAGACGUACCAGAUGGUUUCACUAGAGCCUUUUACCAAACAUGCUGGUAAAUCAUUGAAGAAAAUGUGGUCGGCAUGGUCAAGUCUUUCUUCUGCGGUCAACAACUGCCAAAGAGUAUUACGCACACAAACCUGGUUUUGUUGCCAAAGAAAAAAGAAGUGACUACCUUUGCAGACAUGAGACCAAUCACUCUUAGCAACAUUGUUAACAAGAUUUUCUCGCAAGUCAUUCAUGAAAGGUUGGUUGAAUUAUUACCGACCAUAAUCUCAGAGGAACAGGCAGGUUUUGUGAAGGGAAGAAGCAUCGUUGAGAAUGUAAUGCUAACUCAAGAAAUCAUUAAGGAUAUCAGGUUAAGAACAAAAGCAGGUCCAAACAUUGUGAUUAAGCUAGACAUGACAAAAGCUUAUGACUGCUAACUUAAGAAAUCAUUAAGGAUAUCAUGUUAAGAACAAAAGCAGGUCCAAACAUUGUGAUUAAGCUAGACAUGUCAAAACCUUAUGAUAGAUUAUCAUGGCUAUUCCUGACUAAAUUGCAAAAGAAGAUGGGAUUUCCUGAAGAUUUUAUUGAUUUGAUUGGGAAUAAUUGGUUCUCUAUUCUUAUAAAUGGUCAGCCAAAUGGUUUUUUCAAAUCAUCAAGGGGAGUUAAGUAGGGAGACCCUCUGUCACCAACCCUAUUCAUUCUAGCAGCAGAAGCACUGUCUCGAGGUUUCAACUCACUGCAUACUAACCUGUAUUUCCGUGGAUUUGAUCUACAAAAAUGGAGUCCAAAAUAAAACCAUCUUGCAUAUGCAGAUGAUACAAUCAUUUUCUGCUCAUCUUAUGCAACUUUAUUAUCACUUGUGAUGGAGGUUCUGCAAGCUUAUGAAUCAUAAUCUGGUCCUAUGGUGAACAAAGCCAAAUCAGCCAUAUAUCUGCAUCAUUUAACGGAUGAUGAGGUGAUUAACAAGGUGGAAAGGAUUACUGGUGUAGGAAGAAAAUGUUUCCCUAUGAACUAUCUUGGAUGUCCUAAUUUUUAUGCCAGAAGAAGGAGUGAUUAUUACCAGUGUUUAAUUACUAAGGUUAUGGACAAACUACAGACGUGUAAAGGAAAACUCCUAUCUGUAGGAGGCAGGUCUGUAUUGAUCGCAAAUGUCCUGCAGAGUAUACCAAUUCAUAUGUUGUCAGCAGUUAAUCCACCAAGCUAUGUGAUCAACAAAUUACAUAGCACUUUUGCCAAAUUUUUCUGGAGCAACAAUGUGGGAGGAAGCUCAAGACAUUGGUCAUCAUGGACUAACCUGUGUAUGCCAUAUGAGGAGGGGGUAUAGGUUUCAGAUCCCUUCAUGAUGUAUCCAAGGCACUUUUCUGCAAAUUAUGGUGGAAUUUCAGGACAAAUCCAAGCUUAUGGAGUGCAUUUUUGUGUCAAAAAUAUUGCAAGAAAUUAAAUCCUGUAAAUGUACCGUGGAAAAGGGGAUCACACGUGUGGAGAAAAAUUCUUGAAUGCAGGGAUUUGAUUGAGCAUCAAAUCUGCUGGAAAUUGAGAAUGGAAUCGGCUCAAUUUUGGUUCGACAAUUGGAGCAAGAUGGGAGCUUUAUAUUUCCAACUGCAUGCACAAUUUGUAGUUGGUGAAGACAUUCACAAUGUCAAUGAUAUGGUUGAAAAUGGUAUGUGGAAUUUGGAAAAAUUAUUUCAAAUUCUACCUGAAGAUUUGGCAAACCACGUUGUGCAGAAUAUUAGACCACCCAUUGAUAGUGCAGAGUUUGAUACACCAUUCUGGAUGCUUGAAACAAGGGGACAUUUUUCUGUGAAAUUUGCAUGGGAUUACCUGUGAAGAAGAGACAUCCCAAGGAUAGCUUACAAGAUGAUAUGGGUCAAAGGCUUACCAUUAAAUAUAUAUAUUUCUUCCUGUGGAAGGUGUGGAAAGCCAAACUGCCACUUGAUGAUUUCUUGCGUAGAAUAGGAUACUUCAUGGCAUCUAAAUGUUGGUGCUGUGCAGAUCCUAAGGAGGA